RNAcentral lists this ribosomal RNA (1444 nucleotides) under uncultured organism. RNAcentral's name for it is "SSU rRNA". It matches the Rfam family "Bacterial small subunit ribosomal RNA". The record is from RNAcentral.
CUACAGGCUUAACACAUGCAAGUCGAGGGGCAUCAGGAAGAAAGCUUGCUUUCUUUGCUGGCGACCGGCGCACGGGUGAGUAACACGUAUCCAACCUGCCCUUUACUCGGGGAUAGCCUUUCGAAAGAAAGAUUAAUACCCGAUAGCAUAAUGAUUCCGCAUGGUUUCAUUAUUAAAGGAUUCCGGUAAAGGAUGGGGAUGCGUUCCAUUAGGUUGUUGGUGAGGUAACGGCCCACCAAGCCUUCGAUGGAUAGGGGUUCUGAGAGGAAGGUCCCCCACAUUGGAACUGAGACACGGUCCAAACUCCUACGGGAGGCAGCAGUGAGGAAUAUUGGUCAAUGGGCGCUAGCCUGAACCAGCCAAGUAGCGUGAAGGAUGAAGGCUCUAUGGGUCGUAAACUUCUUUUAUAUAAGAAUAAAGUGCAGUAUGUAUACUGUUUUGUAUGUAUUAUAUGAAUAAGGAUCGGCUAACUCCGUGCCAGCAGCCGCGGUAAUACGGAGGAUCCGAGCGUUAUCCGGAUUUAUUGGGCUUAAAGGGAGCGUAGGUGGACUGGUAAGUCAGUUGUGAAAGUUUGCGGCUCAACCGUAAAAUUGCAGUUGACACUGUCAGUCUUGAGUACAGUAGAGGUGGGCGGAAUUCGUGGUGUAGCGGUGAAAUGCUUAGAUAUCACGAAGAACUCCGAUUGCGAAGGCAGCUCACUGGACUGCAACUGACACUGAUGCUCGAAAGUGUGGGUAUCAAACAGGAUUAGAUACCCUGGUAGUCCACACAGUAAACGAUGAAUACUCGCUGUUUGCGAUAUACAGUAAGCGGCCAAGCGAAAGCAUUAAGUAUUCCACCUGGGGAGUACGCCGGCAACGGUGAAACUCAAAGGAAUUGACGGGGGCCCGCACAAGCGGAGGAACAUGUGGUUUAAUUCGAUGAUACGCGAGGAACCUUACCCGGGCUUAAAUUGCAGUGGAAUGAUGUGGAAACAUGUCAGUGAGCAAUCACCGCUGUGAAGGUGCUGCAUGGUUGUCGUCAGCUCGUGCCGUGAGGUGUCGGCUUAAGUGCCAUAACGAGCGCAACCCUUAUCUUUAGUUACUAACAGGUUAUGCUGAGGACUCUGGAGAGACUGCCGUCGUAAGAUGUGAGGAAGGUGGGGAUGACGUCAAAUCAGCACGGCCCUUACGUCCGGGGCUACACACGUGUUACAAUGGGGGGUACAGAAGGCAGCUAGCGGGUGACCGUAUGCUAAUCCCAAAAGCCUCUCUCAGUUCGGAUCGAAGUCUGCAACCCGACUUCGUGAAGCUGGAUUCGCUAGUAAUCGCGCAUCAGCCACGGCGCGGUGAAUACGUUCCCGGGCCUUGUACACACCGCCCGUCAAGCCAUGGGAGCCGGGGGUACCUGAAGUACGUAACCGCAAGGAUCGUCCUAGGGUAAAACUGGUGACUGGGGCUAAGUC